AGUUGGGCGCGGCUGCGCGCAAGUAUUAAAUCGCGUCUUUUUGCUACUGUAAGUUGCGCAGCCGCGCAGGAAAUCGCGCGCCCAUGAGGUUGAUUUUCUGCUGCAGUGUACUCUGGUAAAAUGGCAAUAACUUUUGAUCCGGGAAACAUUACGGGGCCUGCCACCUAUCAAAUCAAAGCUAUCGACGAGCUCUACAACUUUCAUUCUUUGAUGAUUCAGAAAUUCUAGACGGAUGAAGGCUGAAAGUGGUCUGGAAGUGACUGCUGUGAAACUAGCUAACCAAAAUAGCGAAGUUCAACGUCCGUUGGUACAAAGAUCAUAACUCUUGCAUCCGAACUCCGAUUGGAAUGAUUCAAGGUAUCCCGGAAAGCUUAGAAGAAGCUCUACAACAUAGUCCAAGUUCCAAGCCAAGAACAUGAAAUGAACACGAUAGCCCAAAU
Molecule: long non-coding RNA, 440 nt
Filed under: Panax ginseng (ginseng)
Lineage: Eukaryota; Viridiplantae; Streptophyta; Magnoliopsida; Apiales; Araliaceae
Description: long non-coding RNA (PGIN_LNC017053)
Source: RNAcentral